Molecule: long non-coding RNA, 1211 nt
Filed under: Lathyrus oleraceus (garden pea)
Lineage: Eukaryota; Viridiplantae; Streptophyta; Magnoliopsida; Fabales; Fabaceae
Description: Pisum sativum (pea) long non-coding RNA (PSAT_LNC013233)
Source: RNAcentral
ACAAAAUGGUCGAGGUUAACCUAUAAGAAAAGCGUUACUUGAGCUGAAACAGAAAGAGGAAUUAGUGUGGAAAACGUGAUGACGGCGGCCGGCGAUGCUUUUCUUCUUCUCCUCCUUACCUGGAAUCAAAUUCACGACUGCGUUGCCUUCCCUUUUCAGUAGCUUUUUUCGAAUGGAAACAGAACAAUGCUCUUUUCAUUUCUAAAAUAGGCAUUGCGAACCAAAUUCCUUGAAAACACGAAUCAAUGCCUAUUUAGAAAUGAAAACAACACUUCACUGUUUCCAUUUCAAACUAUUGUCAAGGAAGAUAAUGCUGACGAGUUCUUGAUUUUGAUUUUAGUUGAAGAGGAUCUUGUUUCAAUCAUCAUCCAACUAUCAAGAUUUUCUUCUCUUUUUUACUCAAUUCAUUGAUUAUUAUUGGCUUUGUUAAUUUUCAUUCUUGGUUUCUUCUUUUUGAGUUUCUUGUUGAUUUUCUUCUACACAAAGGAUAUGAUUUAUUCACUUGGUAUGAUUUAUUCUGCAGGAAUGCUGGGGAUGCUUCUGUGCAUAACGAACCUCUCUCUUAUGUGCUGCUAUCUGAGUUUUUUUUUUUUUUACUUUGUGCUGCUUUUAUAUGGCUCCAAAUGAGUAUCCGGCCAAUUGGACAUCAAAAGUUUCCAGCCCCUCCGCAUCCGCAGUUGUGAUGAUCGUACCGUGGUGCUAUCUAUCAAAUUUCUGCUGUCCUCUGUAUCCAAGUUCAGCAUCAAUCUCUAAAGUAAUUAAUUUGAUGGGUGUAAAAGUGUAUUUUAAUAAACUGAGUUUCUAUGUUAGUUUUAUAAGUUGUCUUGUUAUUAUCAUUCUGUUAGCCUUAGCUCAUUUAUGGAUUCUGUUAGUCUUGUAUCUAUAUAUGACCCAUAUUAUAUUUGUAAUUGAAUAAUAUAAUGUUAAAUUUGUUAAUCUGAUAUGAUUUAGCAGGAAAAAAAGAGGUCUCAUGUUUCAAUUUUUUUUCACUUUAAAAGCCAUUCAUAUAGUUACUCUUGCCUCCGUCAUUUUCCUUUCUCUGACGCUGGUUUUCUUUCUCUGUUUUGAUUUGAAUCUUAUUUUUCCUCCUUCCUUUCUAUUGUCUUUCUUCCACAUGCUUCCUUCGAUUCUUCAAUGGAGGAAUCCGAUGGAGAAUCCUCUAAGUCCACUAUACCCGCAAGGCAAGAUGAAUCAAGACACCCUUACAGCCC